This 46-nucleotide small RNA is filed under the name Bremerella volcania. Its description in RNAcentral is "Acido-Lenti-1". It matches the Rfam family "Acido-Lenti-1 RNA". The record is from RNAcentral. Lineage: Bacteria; Pseudomonadati; Planctomycetota; Planctomycetia; Pirellulales; Pirellulaceae.
CCAGGGGCUUACGCCCCUGGCUAUUAUCUGACGCCCCUUCGGGGCU